UGGGGAAUUUUGGACAAUGGGCGAAAGCCUGAUCCAGCAAUGCCGCGUGCAGGAUGAAGGCCCUCGGGUUGUAAACUGCUUUUGUACGGAACGAAAAGCCUGGGGCUAAUAUCCUCGGGUCAUGACGGUACCGUAAGAAUAAGCACCGGCUAACUACGUGCCAGCAGCCGCGGUAAUACGUAGGGUGCAAGCGUUAAUCGGAAUUACUGGGCGUAAAGCGUGCGCAGGCGGUUUUGUAAGACAGUGGUGAAAUCCCCGGGCUCAACCUGGGAACUGCCAUUGUGACUGCAAGGCUAGAGUGCGGCAGAGGGGGAUGGAAUUCCGCGUGUAGCAGUGAAAUGCGUAGAUAUGCGGAGGAACACCGAUGGCGAAGGCAAUCCCCUGGGCCUGCACUGACGCUCAUGCACGAAAGCGUGGGGAGCAAACAGGAUUAGAUACCCUGGUAGUCCACGCCCUAAACGAUGUCAACUGGUUGUUGGGAAUUAACUUUCUCAGUAACGAAGCUAACGCGUGAAGUCGACCGCCUGGGGAGUACGGCCGCAAGGUUGA
RNAcentral lists this ribosomal RNA (549 nucleotides) under uncultured Comamonas sp. RNAcentral describes it as "bacterial SSU rRNA". It matches the Rfam family "Bacterial small subunit ribosomal RNA", at positions 355 to 897 of the family's 1533-position model. The record is from RNAcentral. Lineage: Bacteria; Pseudomonadati; Pseudomonadota; Betaproteobacteria; Burkholderiales; Comamonadaceae.